Molecule: long non-coding RNA, 7332 nt
Filed under: Lactuca sativa (garden lettuce)
Lineage: Eukaryota; Viridiplantae; Streptophyta; Magnoliopsida; Asterales; Asteraceae
Description: long non-coding RNA (LSAT_LNC007090)
Source: RNAcentral
AAUCAUGCAUAUCACAUAUCACAAUAAAUCACAACACAUAAAUAACAUGCAAAUACACUUGCAUAUAACUCUAUAGUACUCUGUCACAUAUCUCUGUUACCACACUAGGUAAAGUAUGGUGAGAAGACUCACCUCAGGCAUCUCGGUAAAUCUCUGACUCGGUGGAAAAUAUUUCCUAGCCUCCGCCUAUUCACAUAAAUAAAUACUCUUAUAAAUAUAACCCUCGAGACUAGACUCAACCUGCCAUUGGCACCCUCAGAAGGGUAAAAGACUAUUUUACCCCCCUCUUGACACAAGUACUCCAUUGUUGACCAAACCCUAAAAGUCAACAAAAGUCAACGGUCACACUUUGACCCUACUCGCCGAGUGCACUCUGGUGACUCGGCGAGUUCACACAUGUUCUCUAACACUUUGUCCCGCUUGGCACGCCGAGUCCCUCCCUAUGCUCGACGAGUCAUACCAGGCAUGAAUCGCGGGGCCACCCCGACUCAACUCGCCGAGUCUCAAGAACAACUCGGCGAGUACCGCCUAGAACUCCAGUCCUCUAACCCCCUCCUGACUCACUGAGUCCUCCCCCAACUCGGCAAGUCUACUCACUGAGCAAUUUAUGUGAAACCCUAACCCUACUCGCCGAGUCUCAAGAACAACUUGGCAAGUUCAUGCCAUGCACAAUCUCUACUGACCUCCUGAGGUCAAGUCUGUUUCCCCAAACCAUAGAUCUGGCCUCCCCAAGCAUGAAUGUCACGUAAAGUCCGAAACUUGAUGCUUGUAUAACCACAACAAGGCAUCAAAAGGAGAUUUAGUCCCAAAAAUGGCAACCUAAGUCCAAUAACCCCAAACUGAUCCAUAAAGCUCCAAGGGUUAAGGUCUCUGGACCUCUUUGAGUCCAGAUCCAAGGCACAAACUCGAAGAGGGACCAUUUGCUCCACAUAAUCACUCUCCAAAGGGGUUAGAAAACCCUAACUCUAAUGAUCAACACCAAAACUGAAGGAGGUUCGAACUAUUAUCUCAAAAUGAAGUCUGUGAACUCUGGAACUGCUAGGAUCACACCUCCACUUUGCUCUUGGUCACCUCCUUCUUGCUAAACCAAAGGUACAAGGAUCAAAAGUGAUUUCUUCUUCCUCACAACGAUUUGGCUCACUUAGGGUUCUCUCAAGGGACUGGUAGCCGCAAUGGGAGGCUAUAAGUGCCCUUAAAUAGGCUCCAAACCCGGGGGAUUAGGGUUUCAUUAAACAGCGUGGACUCGCCGAGUCCGGACGUGAACCCGGAUGAACAUCCGCGACCCUACUCGGCGAGUCUUGGCUCCAACUCGCCGAGUUCCUCCACAAACUCCAAAAUAAUUAAAUAAAAUAAUAUACCUGGGAAAUCAGGAUGUUACAAUUCUCCCCCGCUAGAAUCAGACUUCGCCCUCGAAGUCUCACUCUGGAAACAACUCCGGAUGUUGCUCAUGCAUCUCACGCUCCGGCUCCCAAGUAAGCUCUGACCCUUUCCGGUGUUGCCACUGGACCUGCACCAGAGGCACCUCUUUGUUCCUCAGAACCUUGAUCUUUCGAUCUCGAAUAGCCACCGGUCUCUCAACGUAGUUCAGGCCCACAUCCACCUGAAUAUCCUCUAAUGGCACUACUGCCGACUCAUCGGCUAUACACUUUCGCAACGGUGACACAUGGAAAGUAUCAUGAAUCUGACCGAGCUCUGUAGGUAGUUCCAACCAGUAGGCUACCCUCCCUACCUUCGUGAUCACCUGAAAAGGACCGAUAUAUUGGGGCCCCAACUUGCCCCUCUUCCUGAAUCGGAUCACUCCUUUCCAAGGAGAGACCCUCAGGAGUACAAAGUCGCUGACCUGGAACUCGAGCUCGGACCGGCGCCUGUCCGCAUAACUCUUCUGACGACUCUGAGCGGUCAAUAACCUAUGCCUGACCUGCUGUAUCUGCUCAGUCGUCUGAAGCACGAUCUCGGUAAUACACAUAACACGCUGCCCGACCUCUCCCCAGCAAAUGGGGGUCCAACACCUUCUCCCAUACAACAGCUCAAAGGGUGGCAUACCAAUGCUCGAAUGAUGGUUGUUGUUGUAGGAAAACUCUGCCAAGGGAAAAUACGUGUCCCAACUCCCGCCGAAAUCCAACACACAUGCCCGGAGCAUAUCCUCGAGCGUCUGAAUCGUCCGCUCGCUCUGUCCGUCAGUCUGAGGGUAGUAUGCGGUACUAAAAUGCAGCCUAGUACCCAAUUCCUCAUGAAAUUUCUUCCAGAAUCUGGAAGUGAAAUGCACAUCUCGAUCUGAGACAAUCGAGAUCGGCACCCCAUGUCGUGAUACCACUUCCCUCGCGUACAUCUCUGCCAACUUCUCAGCAGAAGAGCUCUCACUGAUAGCAAGGAAGUGGGCGCUCUUUGUCAACCUGUCCAUAAUCACCCAAAUUGCAUCGACUCCCCUAGCAGUCCUUGGCAAUUUUGUGAUAAAAUACAUGGUAAUCUGUUCCCACUUCCACUCAGGAACCUUCAAUGGCUGCAACUUACCAUGCGGUCUCUGGUGCUCGACCUUAACCCUACGACAGGUUAAGAACCUCUCAACAAACCACGCAACAUCCCUCUUCAUACAGGGCCACCAAUACUCCCUCUUCAGGUCUAAAUACAUCUUAGUGGCCCCAGGAUGGAUCGAGAACAUCGACCGAUGAGCCUCUUCCAUCAAAAUGGUACGCGUCCCGCCCACAAACGGUACCCAGAUACGACCCUGAAAUGUCAUAAGCCCCCGGCUAUCGGUAACGAACUCCGAUACCAACCCGACAACUCGCUCUCUCUUAUGGUUUUCUGAUCUCACGGCCUCAGUCUGGGCCCCACGAAUGGUGUCCAACACCGGAGUCAUCACUGUCAAUCUCAAACAAACAUCUCGCAUCAGGGCGCUCUCCACCCUUCGGCUCAGAGCAUCGGCUACAACAUUAUCCUUACCACAUCCAACCAUCUCCUCUGGCGCAUAUUCAGGUUGGGCUGAUCCANACAUAUUCAGGUUGGGCUGAUCCAUCAAGUACUUCAGGCUCUUGUGAUCCGUGUAUAUGGUACACCGGACCCCAUAUAGAUAGUGACGCCAGAUCUUGAAGGCGAACACUACUGCCCCCAACUCUAAAUCAUGGGUAGGAUACCUCGCCUCAUGAGGCUUCAGUUGCCUCGAUGCAUACGCUAUCACAUGGCCUCUCUGCAUAAGCACUGCUCCCAACCUUGAUAUCGACGCGUCACAAUAUACCACAAAAUCCUCCAUUCCCUCCGGAAGGGAUAACACCGGGGCUUUGCAUAAUCUUUGGCCAAGUGUCUCGAAGGAGGCCUGCUGCUCUGGACCCCAAGCAAAAACUACACCCUUCUGGGUCAACUUAGUGAGUGGCGUAGCGAUCUUGGAGAAAUCCCUGAUGAAUCUCCGAUAAUAGCCUGCCAGUCCUAGAAAACUCCUGAUCUCCGUGGGUGACCUCGGCACCUCCCAACUCAUCACUGCCUCAAUUUUGGCCGAGUCGACCAAUAUCCCUUUCUGGUUAACAAGGUACCCUAGGAACUGGACCUCUCGCAACCAAAAAUCACACUUGGAGAAUUUGGCAUAAAGCCUCUCCAAUCUUAGAACUCCGAGGAUCUCCCUCAAAUGUUCCUUAUGCUGCUCUCUAGAUCUCGAAUACACCAAAAUGUUGUCGAUGAAUACGAUCAUCGAGCGAUCCAACAUCUGCCUGCACACUCUGUUCAUGAGAUCUAUGAACACUGUCGGGGCAUUGGUGAGUCCGAAAGGCAUCACCACAAACUCGUAAUGCCCAUAACGAGUCCUGAACGCUGUCUUCUGGAUGUCCUCAUCUCGCACCCUUACCUGAUGAUACCCGGACCUCAAAUCGAUCUUGGAGAACCAAGAUGCUCCCUGCAACUGAUCGAACAAAUCGUCGAUCCUCGGCAACGGGUAACGGUUUUUUACCGUCAACUUGUUCAACUCCCGGUAAUCAAUGCACAUCUGGUGUGAACCGUCCUUUUUCUUGAUAAAAAGGAUAGGCNUCCUUCUUCUUGACAAAAAGGAUAGGCGCUCCCCACGGCGAUCUGCUCGGCCGAAUAAACCCCUUCCCCAGCAACUCCUGAAGCUGCGAGGAUAACUCCUGCAUCUCUGGAGGUGCAAGGCGAUAGGGCACCUUGGCGAUAGGUGCGGCCCCCGGAACCAAAUCGAUAUUGAACUCCACUUGCCUCACGGGAGGCACGCCCGAAAACUCCUCUGGAAAUACGUCCGGGAACUCACGCACUAUCGGAACCUCAUCAACUGACCUCGGUCUCUCUGAAUCAACCCACGUAUCCAUCACAUACACUACAAAGCCCUUACAUCCCUACUGUAGACACUGUCUCGCUCUAGCGGCCGAACAAAAUGCUGACCCAGAACGUGUACCCUCGUCGUACACAGUAAGAACUCCCCCACUAGGGUCUCGUACGGUCACCAGCUAUCGCUCGCAGUCGAUAACCACUCCGAAUCUGCUCAACCAGUCCAUGCCCACGAUGACACAGACAUCUCCCAUCGCAAUAGGAACUAAAUCAAUCGGGAACUCAACACCAAAAAUCUCGAGUACAUACCCUCGGAUCACCUCUGUGGCAUAUACCGCCCUCUCGUCAGCUAUGGAAACUCUCAGAGGUCGACUCAACGCCUCACGACUAACACCGAUGUGCUGACUAAAAUCCAAAGACACAAAAGACCGACUCGCAGCCGAGUCAAAUAACACCAAGGCAGGUACAAAACUCACAAGAAAAGUACCUACGCAUAACAUAAUAUAAGCACAAUAUCUCAACAUCAAAAUAAAUACACGAAAGAAUACAUACCAGCCACGACAUCGGGCGCUGCGCGGACCUCCUCCGCGGUCAACUAAAAGGCUCUCCCUCGUGCCUUCGGUGCCAUGGCCUUCACUGGCCGGCUCUUAGUAGCUCGGAUAGCAGCAGGGGCAGAUCCCUGAGAGGCUCCCGGUGCUGAUCCUCGCAGCUGCGGACACUCUGCCUUCCGGUGUCCGGUCUGGUUGUAGUGAAAACAUACUGCAAACCCCUUGGGGCAAUCCUUGGCUAUAUGCCCCUCCUUGCCACAUUUGUAGCAAGACCCUGCUCUGCACACCCCAUCGUGGCUCUUGCCGCACUUGCCACAAGUGCGGCCCCUCUGGUUCCCUGAUCUCGAAUCAGCGGGCUUGGCNNNNNNNNNNNNNNNNNNNNNNNNNNNNNNNNNNNNNNNNNNNNNNNNNNNNNNNNNNNNNNNNNNNNNNNNNNNNNNNNNNNNNNNNNNNNNNNNNNNNNNNNNNNNNNNNNNNNNNNNNNNNNNNNNNNNNNNNUGCCUACUCGGAGGACACGUGCUCUGGGCAGAACAUCACCCGCUCAUGAAACAUCCUCGUAAUCACCGUAACAGACUCAGUACCCUGCUUGAGGGUCAGAAACUCCUGGGCCAAACUCUCCCUCUCCACCUGGGGAGCGUACUCAUCUCGGAACAUAGCAGUGAACCUCUCCCAGGUCACUGCAGCAAGCUCAGCAGGCGUAUAGUGUGCCGUCACAAACUUCCACCAAUCUUUCGCUCCCAAGCGAAGCUGGUUCAGCGCGAACCGAACUCUCAAAUGCUCUGGAGAUGAGCAAGUAAAGAAACACCCCUCUAUGUCUGAAAUCCACCUUAUCGCCGCAAUCGGAUCCUGGGUCCCGUCAAACUCCAGUGGUUUUGUGUUGCUGAACUCUCGGAACAGCAACGCAUCACCACCCUGCGGCCUAGUCGCAGCUAUAGCUGCAGUGGCCGCAGCAACAGCAACCUCAGAAAGAGCAGCAUACUUCUCAUGAAAUGUCUCUAUCAGCGUGGUCUUGAUAGACCUGAACAUCUCUGGUAUCUCUGCCCUGAUGACCGCAGCCACCUCCUCCUGGAUGAUCCUACGGAUCUCCUCAUCACUCGUACCGUUGGUCCCUGGUGUGUGGCGCGUCCCAGCCAUGAUCUCCCUCUCUCUGAAAUACGACACAAGAAUAAAUAUCAGGUACUCGCUCGAGUAUGCUCACACUCGAAUACUCCACCCUACAUGUCCCUUGGUACUCCAAGGAUUCUUACUUGGACUGUGCAGACCCGGUGUCUUCAGUAGUACGGGCCCAAUACUACCGUCCACACCGCAUCAGCAUUCACCCCAAGUCCUCCUCCCAGACUACCAAAUCCCAAGUACUCUACUCUCUCUAAUCAUAUGAUACUCACUAGCAGAUCUCUCAUAACCUCCUCGCUGCUACCUAAACACUCUGAAGUAUUCCUAGCAGCAAGACUCCUAGACUCAGGCAUCACAUAUCAUGUCAUUCUAGUCCUAAUAAGAAUACCUAUUCUACUCUAGCAUGCAUAGCAUAGCUCAUCAUAUAACAUAUCACAUCAUAUCUUAUAACACUUAUCGUAACGGUAUUUUGGGAAAUCACCGUUCGGGCGCUGGCUGUUCGUACACAUGACUAUGCUCUGUUUGUCUCGUAAGUUCUUCUUUUGAAAACUUAUUUUAUUAUCAAAAUUUCCUCAAAUCCUCAGUUUGAGUUCAGAUACGCCCGAAGGUGCACCCGAAUCCCUCAAACCAAGGCUCUGAUACCAACUUGUAACACCGUAAAAAUUAAAACAAUUUUUUUCGCAUUUUCAAACACAUUCUUACAAACUCAUUCAUUCAUAAAAUGUCAUAGUAUCAUGUCUUUGUUUCACAAAACAUCUCCGAAGAUCAAAAUACAUAAAAUCCCAUGUGUGUACGAAUCAAGUCGGCGCCUUCCCGCGGUCAUCACUGGUACCUGAAACACAUAACACAAAGCAUAAGCUUAGUGAGUUCCCCAAAAUAGCACUCUAACACAUAAUAGCCACUCGAGGCUGUAACUCUGUCGACCCUCUGGUCAAUGUAUCUCAGUGGGGCCCUCCAGCCCCAACUCUUUGUAGGCCCUCUGGCCCUAAUUGUAUGGACCUGAAAGUCCCAACUCUGUAACUCUGAAUCAUGCAUAUCACAUAUCACAAUAAAUCUCAACACAUAAAUAACAUGCAAAUACACCGGCAUAUAACUCUAUAGUACUCUGUAACAUAACUCUGUUACCACGCUAGGUAAAGUAUAGUGAGAAGACUCACCUCAAGCAUCUCGGAAAAUCUCUGACUCGGUGGAAAAUAUUGCCUAGCCUCCGCCUAUUCACAUAAAUAAAUACUCUUAUAAAUAUAACCCUCGAGACUAGACUCAACCUGCCAUUGGCACCCUCAGAAGGGUAAAAGACUAUUUUACCCCCCUCUUGACACAAGUACUCCAUUGUUGACCAAACCCUAAAAGUCAACAAAAGUCAACGGUCACACUUUGACCCUACUCGCCGAGUGCACCCUGGUGACUC